AAUAUUGCGCAAUGGAGGGAACUCUGACGCAGCGACGCCGCGUGAGCGAUGAAGGUCUUCGGAUCGUAAAGCUCAGUCCUUGGGGAAGAAGGUCUUCGGACUUGACGGUACCCAAGGAGGAAGCCCCGGCUAACUAGGUGCUAGCAGCCGCGGUAAUACGUAGGGGGCAAGCGUUGUCCGGAAUUAUUGGGCGUAAAGGGUGCGUAGGCGGCCUUUUAAGUCAGAUGUGAAAGCCCACGGCUUAACCGUGGGACUGCAUUUGAAACUGGAGGGCUUGAGUAUCGGAGAGGGUAGUGGAAUUCCCAGUGUAGCGGUGGAAUGCGUAGAUAUUGAGAGGAACACCAGUGGCGAAGGCGACUACCUGGACGAAAACUGACGCUCAUGCACGAAAGCGUGGGGAGCAAACA
Molecule: ribosomal RNA, 407 nt
Filed under: uncultured bacterium
Lineage: Bacteria
Description: partial 16S ribosomal RNA
Rfam family: Bacterial small subunit ribosomal RNA
Source: RNAcentral